This 301-nucleotide ribosomal RNA is filed under the name uncultured bacterium. RNAcentral describes it as "partial 16S ribosomal RNA". It matches the Rfam family "Bacterial small subunit ribosomal RNA", at positions 512 to 810 of the family's 1533-position model. The record is from RNAcentral.
UCGCCGCGGGAAUACGUAGGGUGCGAGCGUUAAUCGGAAUUACUGGGCGUAAAGCGUGCGCAGGCGGUUUUGUAAGACAGGCGUGAAAUCCCCGGGCUCAACCUGGGAAUGGCGCUUGUGACUGCAAAGCUAGAGUGCGGCAGAGGGGGAUGGAAUUCCGCGUGUAGCAGUGAAAUGCGUAGAUAUGCGGAGGAACACCGAUGGCGAAGGCAAUCCCCUGGGCCUGCACUGACGCUCAUGCACGAAAGCGUGGGGAGCAAAUGGGAUUAGAUACCCGAGUAGUCCCUGUCUCUUAUACACA